CAAUGGGGAAACCCUGAUGCAGCGACGCCGCGUGAGUGACGAAGGUUUUCGGAUCGUAAAACUCUGUUGUGAGGGAAGAACAAGUACCAAUUAACUACUGGUACCUUGACGGUACCUCACCAGAAAGCCACGGCUAACUACGUGCCAGCAGCCGCGGUAAUACGUAGGUGGCAAGCGUUGUCCGGAAUUAUUGGGCGUAAAGCGCGCGCAGGCGGUCCCUUAAGUCUGAUGUGAAAGCCCACGGCUCAACCGUGGAGGGUCAUUGGAAACUGGGGGACUUGAGUGCAGAAGAGGAAAGUGGAAUUCCAUGUGUAGCGGUGAAAUGCGUAGAGAUGUGCGGAACACCAGUGGCGAAGGCGACUUUCUGGUCUGUAACUGACGCUGAGGCGCGAAAGCGUGGGGAGCAAACAGGAUUAGAUACCCUGGUAGUCCACGCCGUAAACGAUGAGUGCUAAGUGUUAGGGGGUUUCCGCCCCUUAGUGCUGCAGCUAACGCAUUAAGCACUCCGCCUGGGGAGUACGGCCGCAAGGCUGAAACUCAAAGGAAUUGACGGG
This 554-nucleotide ribosomal RNA is filed under the name uncultured Planomicrobium sp. RNAcentral's name for it is "bacterial SSU rRNA". It matches the Rfam family "Bacterial small subunit ribosomal RNA", at positions 369 to 917 of the family's 1533-position model. The record is from RNAcentral. Lineage: Bacteria; Bacillati; Bacillota; Bacilli; Caryophanales; Caryophanaceae.